CCUACGGGAGGCAGCAGUGAGGAAUCUUGGUCAAUGGGCGCGAGCCUGAACCAGCCAAGUAGCGUGAAGGAUUACUGCCCUACGGGUUGUACACUUCUUUUAUAAAGGAAUAAAGUGAGGCACGUGUACCUUUUUGUAUGUACUUUAUGAAUAAGGAUCGGCUAACUCCGUGCCAGCAGCCGCGGUAAUACGGAGGAUCCGAGCGUUAUCCGGAUUUAUUGGGUUUAAAGGGAGCGUAGGUGGUUUGUUAAGGCAGUUGUGAAAGUUUGCGGCUCAACCGUAAAAUUGCAAUUGAUACUGGCAGUCUAGAGUACAGUUGAGGUAGGCGGAAUUCGUGGUGUAGCAGUGAAAUGCUUAGAUAUCGCGAAGAACUCCGAUUGCGAAGGCAGCUUACUAAACUGCCACUGACAUUGAUGCUCGAAAGUGUGGGGAUCAAACAGGAUUAGAUACCCUAGUAGUC
RNAcentral lists this ribosomal RNA (460 nucleotides) under uncultured bacterium. RNAcentral's name for it is "partial 16S ribosomal RNA". It matches the Rfam family "Bacterial small subunit ribosomal RNA", at positions 338 to 795 of the family's 1533-position model. The record is from RNAcentral.